This 446-nucleotide ribosomal RNA is filed under the name Halorubrum sp. AGS-18. RNAcentral's name for it is "bacterial SSU rRNA". It matches the Rfam family "Archaeal small subunit ribosomal RNA", at positions 929 to 1319 of the family's 1478-position model. Lineage: Archaea; Methanobacteriati; Methanobacteriota; Halobacteria; Halobacteriales; Haloferacaceae. The record is from RNAcentral.
ACCAGCAUUGGCUGUAAUAAUGACGACCAGGUUAAUGACAUUGUACGAGGUUCAGAGAUGAAGUGCAUGGCCGCCGUCAGCUCGUACCGUGAGGCGUCCUGUUAAGUCAGGCAACGAGCGAGACCCGCAUCCUUACUUGCCAGCAGUACCGCGAGGUAGCUGGGGACAGUAGGGAGACCGCCGUGGCUAACACGGAAGAAGGAACGGGCAACGGUAGGUCAGUAUGCCCCGAAUGUGCUGGGCAACACGGAAGAAGGAACGGGCAACGGUAGGUCAGUAUGCCCCGAAUGUGCUGGGCAACACGCGGGCUACAAUGGUCGAGACAAAGAGUUCCAACUCCGAAAGGAGACGGUAAUCUCAGAAACUCGAUCGUUUUUCGAUUGUGGGCUGCAACUCGCCCACAUGAAGCUGGAUUCGGUAGUAAUCGCGGUCACAAGCUCGCUGGU